RNAcentral lists this long non-coding RNA (635 nucleotides) under Homo sapiens (human). Its description in RNAcentral is "long non-coding RNA NONHSAT131722.2". Lineage: Eukaryota; Metazoa; Chordata; Mammalia; Primates; Hominidae. The record is from RNAcentral.
GAUGUUCUUGUGCUGCAUCCCCAUAUCUCAAGUCUCCUGCUUCAGGAAUGGCAGGAGUGAGAGCCUUUCUUUUCCAACGAUGCCCUUGUAGGCUCAUCCCUCACCCCAGAUGUCUCUGGCCAUUUGACAGAAGGCCCCCCCAGGUACCACAGGACAGGAGUCACCAGGUAGACAUCAGGCCCCAGAUGGAGCUACCAGGCCAGGCCUCACCAGUGAUCCCACCAGGGCCACAUCUGCACAUUGUCCUUGUCCAGCUGGAGCCUCUGGAGCUCAUUGAGACACAGGCACAUGCUCCUGCUUCAGGUGCAGAAACACAGCUAUUUCCAGUGCCAGCUGUUGAGCCAGUGCCAGCACCAGGGGCAGAGCCCCUUCCAGGGACAGCGCUGGAGCUAGAGGAAGCUCCAGAGCCCUCCUGCCGCUGCCCUGGGACUGCACAGGACCAGCCCAGUGAGAAGCUGCCUGACUCCAUGGCACCUCCUGAGGUGCUGGAGAGCAAGAAAAGGAGCCUGUGAGCAGGGGUUCCAGCAGGUCCUCCGGCUCCCAGAGGUGACCUCCUCCUCCAGGAAUGGAGGUUUGCCCUCAGCUGGGCAUCUGGGCCAUUUGCCUCUAAUGUGCUGCCCAGGAUGGCCUCUUCU